GAGUAACACGUGGGUGAUCUGCCCUGUACUUCGGGAUAAGCUUGGGAAACUGGGUCUAAUACCGGAUAUGACCUCCACUUUGUGGGAUGUGUGUGUGUGGAAAGCUUUUGCGGUAUGGGAUGAGCUCGCGGCCUAUCAGCUUGUUGGUGGGGUAAUGGCCUACCAAGGCGUCGACGGGUAGCCGGCCUGAGAGGGUGUACGGCCACAUUGGGACUGAGAUACGGCCCAGACUCCUACGGGAGGCAGCAGUGGGGAAUAUUGCACAAUGGGCGCAAGCCUGAUGCAGCGACGCCGCGUGGGGGAUGACGGCCUUCGGGUUGUAAACUCCUUUCGUCAGGGACGAAGCGAAAGUGACGGUACCUGGAUAAGAAGCACCGGCUAACUACGUGCCAGCAGCCGCGGUAAUACGUAGGGUGCGAGCGUUGUCCGGAAUUACUGGGCGUAAAGAGCUCGUAGGUGGUUUGUCGCGUCGUUUGUGUAAGUCCACGGCUUAACUGUGGGAUGGCAGGCGAUACGGGCAUAACUUGAGUGCUGUAGGGGAGACUGGAAUUCCUGGUGUAGCGGUGAAAUGCGCAGAUAUCAGGAGGAACACCGAUGGCGAAGGCAGGUCUCUGGGCAGUAACUGACGCUGAGGAGCGAAAGCAUGGGUAGCGAACAGGAUUAGAUACCCUGGUAGUCCAUGCCGUAAACGGUGGGCGCUAGGUGUGAGUCCCUUCCACGGGGUUCGUGCCGUAGCUAACGCAUUAAGCGCCCCGCCUGGGGAGUACGGCCGCAAGGCUAAAACUCAAAGGAAUUGACGGGGGCCCGCACAAGCGGCGGAGCAUGUGGAUUAAUUCGAUGCAACGCGAAGAA
RNAcentral lists this ribosomal RNA (852 nucleotides) under Corynebacterium sp. Its description in RNAcentral is "bacterial SSU rRNA". It matches the Rfam family "Bacterial small subunit ribosomal RNA", at positions 108 to 968 of the family's 1533-position model. The record is from RNAcentral. Lineage: Bacteria; Bacillati; Actinomycetota; Actinomycetes; Mycobacteriales; Corynebacteriaceae.